This 75-nucleotide transfer RNA is filed under the name Clostridia bacterium. RNAcentral describes it as "tRNA-Thr". It matches the Rfam family "tRNA". From Rfam's summary of the family: Transfer RNA (tRNA) molecules are approximately 80 nucleotides in length. Lineage: Bacteria; Bacillati; Bacillota; Clostridia. The record is from RNAcentral.
GCUGGUGUAGCACAGUGGUAGUGCAGCUGAUUCGUAAUCAGCAGGUCGUGAGUUCGAGUCUCAUCACCAGCUCCA